AAUGGGCCACNCNUGACCAGCGACGCCGCGUGACUGAUGAAGCCUUCGGGGUGUAAAGUCUUCGGCAGGGACAAUAAUGAUGGUACCUGCAGAAGCAGCUGCGGCUAACUACGUGCCAGCAGCCGCGGUAAUACGUAGGCAGCUAGCGUUGUUCGGAAUUACUGGGCGUAAAGCGAGUGUAGGCGGUUUGCCAAGUCCGUUGUGAAAUCUCCCGGCUCAACUGGGAGGGUGCGGCGGAAACUGGCAGGCUAGAGUACGGAAUGGGAGAGUGGAAUUCCUGGUGUAGCGGUGAAAUGCGUAGAUAUCAGGAGGAACACCGGUGGUGAAGACGGCUCUCUGGACCGUUACUGACGCUGAGACUCGAAAGCGUGGGGAGCAAACAGGAUUAGAUAUC
RNAcentral lists this ribosomal RNA (394 nucleotides) under uncultured bacterium. RNAcentral's name for it is "bacterial SSU rRNA". It matches the Rfam family "Bacterial small subunit ribosomal RNA", at positions 370 to 786 of the family's 1533-position model. The record is from RNAcentral.